UGGAUACUCCAAGAACUGAUAACAACGGUGGUGAAAAUUUUAUGCCGGCGAGUUCUUCUCGGUGGCCUAAAGCUGAAGUUCAAGCUUUGAUUGAUCUCCGAACAAGUCUUGAUCUAAAGUACCAAGAAAAUGGACCAAAAGGACCUCUGUGGGAGGAGAUUUCAGCUGCCAUGGGGAGGCUUGGAUACAAUCGAAAUGCAAAAAGAUGCAAAGAAAAAUGGGAGAACAUCAACAAGUACUUCAAGAAAGUUAAAGAAAGUAACAAGAACAGACCUGAGGAUUCAAAGACAUGCCCAUAUUUUCACCAACUCAAUGCUUUAUACAGAGAAAGAGCCAAGACUGAUUCUUCAUCCAAUCCUGGAUUCUUAAUGAAGCCUGAUCAAAAUCCAAUAAUGCCGAUUAUGGCUCGGCCUGAACAGCA
RNAcentral lists this long non-coding RNA (421 nucleotides) under Olea europaea (common olive). Its description in RNAcentral is "long non-coding RNA (OEUR_LNC005506)". The record is from RNAcentral. Lineage: Eukaryota; Viridiplantae; Streptophyta; Magnoliopsida; Lamiales; Oleaceae.